AACGAACGCUGGCGGCAGGCUUAACACAUGCAAGUUGAACGUGAUUUAUUAGUGCUUGCACUAAUAAUGAAAGUAGCGCACGGGUGAGUAACACGUGGGAACGUACCAUAGAGUGGGGGAUAACAGUUGGAAACGACUGCUAAUACCGCAUAAUCCCUGAGGGGGAAAGAUUUAUCGCUCAAUGAACGGCCCGCGGAAGAUUAGGUAGUUGGUGGGGUAAAUGCCUACCAAGCCUACGAUCUAUAGCUGGUCUGAGAGGACGAUCAGCCACAUUGGGACUGAGACACGGCCCAGACUCCUACGGGAGGCAGCAGUGAGGAAUAUUGGGCAAUGGGGGAAACCCUGACCCAGCCAUGCCGCGUGAGUGAGAAGGUUUUCGAAUUGUAAAGCUCUUUCAGGUGAGAAGAUGAUGACGGUAUCACCAGAAGAAGCCCCGGCAAACUUCGUGCCAGCAGCCGCGGUAAC
This 465-nucleotide ribosomal RNA is filed under the name uncultured Alphaproteobacteria bacterium. RNAcentral's name for it is "bacterial SSU rRNA". It matches the Rfam family "Bacterial small subunit ribosomal RNA", at positions 29 to 524 of the family's 1533-position model. The record is from RNAcentral. Lineage: Bacteria; Pseudomonadati; Pseudomonadota; Alphaproteobacteria.